This 497-nucleotide ribosomal RNA is filed under the name uncultured bacterium. RNAcentral's name for it is "partial 16S ribosomal RNA". It matches the Rfam family "Bacterial small subunit ribosomal RNA", at positions 28 to 507 of the family's 1533-position model. The record is from RNAcentral.
GAUGAACGCUGGCGGCGUGCCUAAUACAUGCAAGUCGAGCGAACGGACGAGAAGCUUGCUUCUCUGAUGUUAGCGGCGGACGGGUGAGUAACACGUGGAUACCCUACCUAUAAGACUGGGAUAACUUCGGGAAACCGUAGCUAAUACCGGAUAAUAUUCUGAACCGCAUGGUUCAAAAGUGAAAGACGGUCUUGCUGUCACUUAUAGAUGGAUCCGGGCUGCAUUAGCUAGUUGGUAAGGUAACGGCUUAUCAAGGCAACGAUGCAUAGCCGACCUGAGAGAGUGAUCGGCGACACUGGAGCUGAGACACGGACCAGACUCCUACGAGAGGCAGCAGAAGGGAAUCUUCCGCAGUGGUCGAAAGCCUGACGGAGCGACGCGGAGUGAGUGGUGAAGAUGUUGGGAGCGUAAAACUCUGUUAUUAGGGGAGAACAUAUGCGUAAGUAGCUGAAGAGAUCGUGACGGUACCUGAUCAGAAAGCCACGGCUAACUACGUG